RNAcentral lists this ribosomal RNA (763 nucleotides) under uncultured Prevotella sp. RNAcentral describes it as "bacterial SSU rRNA". It matches the Rfam family "Bacterial small subunit ribosomal RNA", at positions 28 to 776 of the family's 1533-position model. Lineage: Bacteria; Pseudomonadati; Bacteroidota; Bacteroidia; Bacteroidales; Prevotellaceae. The record is from RNAcentral.
GAUGAACGCUAGCUAUAGGCUUAACACAUGCAAGUCGAGGGGAAACGGCAUUCUGUGCUUGCACAUUCUGGACGUCGACCGGCGCACGGGUGAGUAUCGCGUAUCCAACCUUCCCUCCACUCGGGGAUACCCCGUUGAAAGACGGCCUAAUACCCGAUGUUGUCCACAUAUGGCAUCUGACGUGGACCAAAGAUUCAUCGGUGGAGGAUGGGGAUGCGUCUGAUUAGCUUGUUGGUGCGGGUAACGGCCCACCAAGGCUACGAUCAGUAGGGGUUCUGAGAGGAAGGUCCCCCACAUUGGAACUGAGACACGGUCCAAACUCCUACGGGAGGCAGCAGUGAGGAAUAUUGGUCAAUGGACGUAAGUCUGAACCAGCCAAGUAGCGUGCAGGAUUGACGGCCCUAUGGGUUGUAAACUGCUUUUGUUGGGGAGUAAAGCGGGGCACGUGUGCCCCUUUGCAUUUACCCUUCGAAUAAGGACCGGCUAAUUCCGUGCCAGCAGCCGCGGUAAUACGGAAGGUCCAGGCGUUAUCCGGAUUUAUUGGGUUUAAAGGGAGUGUAGGCGGUCUGUUAAGCGUGUUGUGAAAUUUAGGUGCUCAACAUCUACCUUGCAGCGCGAACUGGCGGACUUGAGUGCACGCAACGUAUGCGGAAUUCAUGGUGUAGCGGUGAAAUGCUUAGAUAUCAUGACGAACUCCGAUUGCGAAGGCAGCGUACGGGAGUGUUACUGACGCUUAAGCUCGAAGGUGCGGGUAUCGAACAGG